UCCGUAAAUCCGUAAUAAUAUGUGGAGCGAUAUGUUUGUUGUUGGUUACAAACAAAAACAAAUUAAUAAUACUGUGUUCAGUCAUGCACGAUUUGAAUUCAAAAAACGUUACCGAAGAUCUGCAGUUCUUGUACAUUUUAAUACAUGGCUGUAAGUGGUUGUACAUCACUAGUGUACUACUUUUGCUGUUAAUCAAGGCCUUUGAACAAAUAGUACAGUAACUUGAAGAAUGAGCAUGUAAUGCGAUGCAGAUACCUGGCCAAUGAGAUGAAGUUGUACCACUUCCAUCAGUCCCGACAUUUGUCAAAGAAGUGCAGUUUAUAAAUGACCAAGUGGAUAAAGCAGCCACACUCUCACUGGUCCAGAUAUUCCUCAAAGAAGAGGAAGGUGCGUAUUGUAAGGCAGAAGAGCCUGUGCUGGUCUCACUUGUCCCAGUGCUUCUCAAAGAAGAACAUGUGGUUGAUGAAUCGCCGGAGGACUUUGAAGUUGCAGUCACCCAUUGCUAAUAAGUCUGGUGUGUGCAUAUAGAACCAAAUAUGGAAGUUACUGUGAAGUGCCUGCAGGAUGACUGCAAUUUUUUUUCAACGUCUUGGCAAAUUUGAGAACACAUGCUGCAAAAGCACAUGCUUGCAGAGGAGAAAGGAAAGUUUAUAUUCCAGACAAUGGAUGAUACCUGGCCAAUGAGAUGAAGUUGUACCACUUCCAUCAGUCCAGACAUUUGUCAAAGAAGUGCAGUUUAUAAAUGACCAAGUGGAUAAAGCAGCCACACUCUCACCGGUCCAGAUAUUCCUCAAAGAAGAGGAAGGUGAAAGUAUUCAUGAAAUACUGACUGUCAGUUACACACUGAAGUAAUGAGAUAACUGUUAAUUGUAUUUCAUUUACCAGUAGUAGAAAACGCAUAUACAUAAAAUUUCUUAUAUACUAUAGUUGAAAGUCAAACUGGAGAAUACGCAUUAUAAUAAGCCACAAUUGUACUGUGUAUACACAGACAGAUUAGGUAGAUAUUUCUAAGGGACUCUUUGCAAAUGAUACAGUUGUGUGUAGUGAUUUCACAUAACUAGAAAAUUAUUGUUAAAUGCUGGAGGACUUGAUGAUGUUUAUGUGAUUCAGGGACAGGCAAGUGAAGUACUGUAGAUGUGUAAAUAGAUGAAAAGACUGUCGUUGCUCAGUUACUGGAAAAAGGACACAACCAGCAAUAGCUGCAGUUUCAGGAGAAAUCAGAUGGCAGAAAAUUCGUGCUGGACUGGGACUCAAACCCGGAUCCCUGGGACUCAAACCCGGAUCUCCCGGUUUAUGUGUUAGGUCGACAUAACCACUUUGGCUAUCCGUACAGGAGCCAUGACAAGAAACACUUCCAUAUGUCGUCAUCUGUGCGUCACAACCUGCACUCUUGCACUUAAUUUAUAGGGAUUGGAAAAAUUUACGUUUCUGCUUCAAAAUGCAAAAUUACGUUUUAGAUGCUAUUUUGUAGUAAAUUGUAUCCAGAUGAACUAUUUUAUCAGAGAUAAUUUGAAAUAGCUUGAUUCCUGCAUAAAAAUAUUGAAAAUGUAACCAGUUUUUGGUUAAUGGUAUUGUGCAUGUUCUGGCGAAGGCCAAUUUGUAAAGGUAAUGUGUAUAAGAACCUUUCUGCAAAAUGAAAGUGUACAAAUGCAACAACACAUCAAUGCACUAAAUGAUCUGAUGCCAGGCCAGUUGUGGGCGGUUGAAUGAUCUAUUUAAGAUACGUGCUGUGUAAUACAAUGUAGUACUCAGCUGUGGGACCUAGUAUUUUAUAACAAAGAAAUGUGUACAUUUGUUUGUUAAAAAAGCUCAAAAUAUGGUUUAAUGUGGUCAUUUCUAAAGUGGCAAAUUAGGAGGAGUAUGUUUUGAGCAGUGGUUGUAUCGAAUACUGCUAGAUA
RNA transcript from Schistocerca nitens (vagrant locust), 1898 nucleotides. RefSeq lists it as uncharacterized. NCBI's taxonomy places the organism in Eukaryota, Metazoa, Arthropoda, Insecta, Orthoptera, Acrididae. The transcript is spliced from 8 exons. The record is from RefSeq and is a predicted model, not a curated record.